GACGAACGCUGGCGGCGUGCUUAACACAUGCAAGUCGAACGGAAAGGCCCUGCUUUUGUGGGGUGCUCGAGUGGCGAACGGGUGAGUAACACGUGAGUAACCUGCCCUUGACUUUGGGAUAACUUCAGGAAACUGGGGCUAAUACCGGAUAGGAGCUCCUGCUGCAUGGUGGGGGUUGGAAAGUUUCGGCGGUUGGGGAUGGACUCGCGGCUUAUCAGCUUGUUGGUGGGGUAGUGGCUUACCAAGGCUUUGACGGGUAGCCGGCCUGAGAGGGUGACCGGCAACAUGGGGACUGAGACACGCCCGGGACUCCUACGGGGGGCAGAAGGGGGGAUUAUGCAAAAAGGGGGGGAGCCCUGAUGCAGCACCGCCGGGGGGGGGAGGACGCCUUUCGGUUUGAAACCCGUUUUCGCCGGUAAAGAAGGGUGAGGGAGGUAAAGGGAUAAAAAGCCCCCGGCAAAAUAGGUC
Molecule: ribosomal RNA, 468 nt
Filed under: uncultured bacterium
Lineage: Bacteria
Description: partial 16S ribosomal RNA
Rfam family: Bacterial small subunit ribosomal RNA
Source: RNAcentral